UGGGGAAUAUUGGGCAAUGGGCGCAAGCCUGACCCAGCCACGCCGCGUGAGUGAUGAAGGCCUUCGGGUCGUAAAGCUCUGUGGGGAGCGACGAAAAAACGCUGGCCAAUAUCCAGCGGACUGACGGUAGCUCCUUAGCAAGCACCGGCUAACUCUGUGCCAGCAGCCGCGGUAAUACAGAGGGUGCAAACGUUGCUCGGAAUCAUUGGGCGUAAAGCGCACGUAGGCGGUCCGAUAAGCGGGGAGUGAAAGCCCUCGGCUUAACCGAGGAAGUGCUUUCCGAACUGUCGGACUUGAGUACGCAAGAGGAUCGCGGAAUUCCCGGUGUAGAGGUGAAAUUCGUAGAUAUCGGGAGGAACACCAGCGGCGAAGGCGGCGAUCUGGGGCGAUACUGACGCUGAGGUGCGAAAGCGUGGGGAGCAAACAGG
This 428-nucleotide ribosomal RNA is filed under the name uncultured bacterium. RNAcentral describes it as "bacterial SSU rRNA". It matches the Rfam family "Bacterial small subunit ribosomal RNA", at positions 355 to 776 of the family's 1533-position model. The record is from RNAcentral.